Molecule: ribosomal RNA, 429 nt
Filed under: Actinomycetes bacterium
Lineage: Bacteria; Bacillati; Actinomycetota; Actinomycetes
Description: Actinobacteria bacterium partial 16S ribosomal RNA
Rfam family: Bacterial small subunit ribosomal RNA
Source: RNAcentral
UAGGGAAUCUUCCGCAAUGGGCGAAAGCCUGACGGAGCAACGCCGCGUGAGUGAUGAAGGUCUUCGGAUCGUAAAACUCUGUUAUUAGGGAAGAACCAUUGUGUAAGUAACUAUGCACGUCUUGACGGUACCUAAUCAGAAAGCCACGGCCAACUACGUGCCAGCAGCCGCGGUAAUCCGUAGGUGGCAAGCUUUAUCCGGAAUUCUUGGGCGUAAAGCGCGCGUAGGCGGUUUUUUAAGUCUGAUGUGAAAGACAACGGCUCAACCGUGGAGGGUGAGUGGGGACUGGAAAACUUGAGUGCAGGAGAGGAAAGUGGAAUUCCAUGUGUGGCGGUGAAAUGCGCAGAGAUAUGGAGGAAAACCAGUGACGAAGGCGACUUUCUGAUCUGUAACUAACACUGAUGUGCGAAAGCGUGGGGAUCAAAGAGG